This is a long non-coding RNA of Drosophila guanche, 455 nucleotides long. RefSeq lists it as uncharacterized. The transcript has 2 exons. NCBI's taxonomy places the organism in Eukaryota, Metazoa, Arthropoda, Insecta, Diptera, Drosophilidae. The record is from RefSeq and is a predicted model, not a curated record.
ACCAUAUGCGCGGGGCUGCCAACUCUGUGGAGCUCUAUUUUGGGCACAUCCAGCUUCACGCUGCACAAAGCAGAAUCGAAAGCAAAACAAAUGAAGGCACCCAUGAGUGCGAGAGAGCACGACAUAUGCACUGCCGUGGGGAGAAACACAAAAUCAAAAAUGGCGACACGCUGUAUAACAAGUGCAGGUUAUGAUUCAUUGCAAGAAUAUACUGUUUGGCAAUGCCCACGGACGGUUCUCUCCUAAUAACAGCACUUUUUCCGGUUAAGGCGCGCAUUUCUUACACUUGGUUAUUAACGCUUUACUCACCGUUUAUUUUGUUCAUUGGAGGCUCACUUCAUUUUUCACAACUCUGUUUAAUUCGACGGCAAGCUUUGAUUUCAAACUUUUGCGUAUUUGGCGCACAAAACUCUUUUCACGUUUGCUUUUUACAAAACAAAUACAAUUUGCAUACA